RNAcentral lists this ribosomal RNA (466 nucleotides) under uncultured bacterium. Its description in RNAcentral is "partial 16S ribosomal RNA". It matches the Rfam family "Bacterial small subunit ribosomal RNA", at positions 339 to 795 of the family's 1533-position model. The record is from RNAcentral.
CUACGGGUCGCUGCAGUGGGGAAUAUUGGACAAUGGGGGAAACCCUGAUCCAGCAAUGCCGCGUGUGUGAAGAAGGCCUGCGGGUUGUAAAGCACUUUCGGUUGGGAGGACUGCUUCUAGCACUAAUAUUGUUGGAAGUUGACGUUACCUUCAGAAGAAGCACCGGCUAACUCCGUGCCAGCAGCCGCGGUAAUACGGAGGGGUGCAAGCGUUAAUCGGAAUUACUGGGCGUAAAGCGCGCGUAGGCGGCUAGAUCAGUCGGGUGUGAAAGCCCCGGGCUUAACCUGGGAACUGCAUCCGAUACUGUCUAGCUUGAGUACAGGAGAGGAGAGUGGAAUUCCACAUGUAGCGGUGAAAUACGUAGAUAUGUGGAGGAACACCAAUGGCGAAGGCAGCUCUCUGGCCUGAUACUGACGCUGAGGUGCGAAAGCGUGGGGAUCAAACAGGAUUAGAUACCCUUGUAGUC